This 664-nucleotide ribosomal RNA is filed under the name uncultured Tuber. RNAcentral's name for it is "eukaryotic LSU rRNA". The stretch from base 263 to 416 matches the Rfam family "5.8S ribosomal RNA". Lineage: Eukaryota; Fungi; Ascomycota; Pezizomycetes; Pezizales; Tuberaceae. The record is from RNAcentral.
GGAAGUAAAAGUCGUAACAAGGUUUCCGUAGGUGAACCUGCGGAAGGAUCAUUACAAAUGACUGGGAUGUCCUAUCGGACCCCCAAGCAAACACAUCUAUGUGUACUCUGCCAUGUUGCUUCCCCAGACCAGUGGCCACUGCUGCCAGCCCAGCCCCUAAUGGGUUCCUGGGUUGAGGUGUCUGGGGAAGGGCUCAAUAUCAAACUUUUCAACCCACUAGUCGUCUGAGAAGGCCAUGUGCCGCAAUAUUUAAACAAGUUAAAACUUUCAACAACGGAUCUCUUGGCUCUCGCAUCGAUGAAGAACGCAGCGAAAUGCGAUAAGUAAUGUGAAUUGCAGAAUUCAGUGAAUCAUCGAAUCUUUGAACGCACAUUGCGCCCUUUGGUAUUCCUUAGGGCAUGCCUGUUCGAGCGUCACUAAAAACCGACUCACAUAUCGUGUGGUAUUGGUAGAAGUGGAUAGUACUAACACUACUUUGUCUUACUCUGCUGAAAUGAAUAGGCCAGAAAAGUGGACCAUGGUAAUAGAUUCCAGGAGUGUUUUAAAAUGCUAUACUAGUCUUAUCCAAGUCAUAUUCUGAGCCACUGGACCCCCCAUUUAGUCCAAACAACAGUGGUUGACCUCGGAUCAGGUAGGGAUACCCGCUGAACUUAAGCAUAUCAAU